UACGUAGGGGCAAGCGUUGUCCGGAAUCAUUGGGCGUAAGAGCGUGUAGGCGGCUCGGUAAGUCCGCUCUGAAAGCCCAGGGCUCAACCCUGGGAGGCGGGUGGAUACUACUGGACUAGAGUACGGAAGAGGAGAUUGGAAUUCCUGGUGUAGCGGUGAAAUGCGCAGAUAUCAGGAGGAACACCAACAGCGAAGGCAGAUCUCUGGGACGUAACUGACGCUGAGACGCGAAGCGUGGGAGCAAACAGG
Molecule: ribosomal RNA, 249 nt
Filed under: uncultured bacterium
Lineage: Bacteria
Description: partial 16S ribosomal RNA
Rfam family: Bacterial small subunit ribosomal RNA
Source: RNAcentral